UACGGAGGGUGCGAGCGUUGUCCGGAUUUAUUGGGUUUAAAGGGUGCGUAGGCGGCCUUAUAAGUCCGGGGUGAAAGCCCGCUGCUCAACAGCGGAACUGCCCUGGAUACUGUGAGGCUUGAGUACAGACGAGGUUGGCGGAAUGGACGGAGUAGCGGUGAAAUGCAUAGAUACCGUCCAGAACCCCGAUUGCGAAGGCAGCUGACUAGGCUGUUACUGACGCUGAGGCACGACAGCGUGGGGAGCGAACAGG
Molecule: ribosomal RNA, 253 nt
Filed under: uncultured bacterium
Lineage: Bacteria
Description: partial 16S ribosomal RNA
Rfam family: Bacterial small subunit ribosomal RNA
Source: RNAcentral